GACGGGGCCCGCACAAGCGGUGGAGUAUGUGGUUUAAUUCGAUGCAACGCGAAGAACCUUACCUGGUCUUGACAUCCCGGAGACCCUUAGGAAACUAGGGGUGCUUCCAUCUGGAAGAAUCUGGAGACAGGUGCUGCAUGGCUGUCGUCAGCUCGUGUCGUGAGAUGUUGGGUUAAGUCCCGCAACGAGCGCAACCCUUGCCUUUAGUUGCCAGCAGUUCGGCUGGGCACUCUAAAGGGACUGCCGGUGUUAAACCGGAGGAAGGUGGGGAUGACGUCAAGUCCUCAUGGCCUUUAUGACCAGGGCUACACACGUACUACAAUGGCCGAUACAAAGGGCAGCGACACUGCGAGGUGAAGCCAAUCCCGUAAAAUCGGUCUCAGUCCGGAUUGGAGUCUGCAACUCGACUCCAUGAAGUUGGAAUCGCUAGUAAUCGUGGAUCAGCAUGUCACGGUGAAUACGUUCCCGGGCCUU
This 474-nucleotide ribosomal RNA is filed under the name uncultured Desulfobulbus sp. Its description in RNAcentral is "bacterial SSU rRNA". It matches the Rfam family "Bacterial small subunit ribosomal RNA", at positions 916 to 1381 of the family's 1533-position model. The record is from RNAcentral. Lineage: Bacteria; Pseudomonadati; Thermodesulfobacteriota; Desulfobulbia; Desulfobulbales; Desulfobulbaceae.